GAUGAACGCUGGCGGCGUGCUUAACACAUGCAAGUCGAACGGAAAGGCUCCUGCUUGCAGGGGUACUCGAGUGGCGAACGGGUGAGUAACACGUGGGUGAUCUGCCCAGCACUUCGGGAUAAGCCUGGGAAACUGGGUCUAAUACCGGAUAGGACGAUGGUUUGGAUGCCAUUGUGGAAAGUUUUUUCGGUGUGGGAUGAGCUCGCGGCCUAUCAGCUUGUUGGUGGGGUAAUGGCCUACCAAGGCGUCGACGGGUAGCCGGCCUGAGAGGGUGUACGGCCACAUUGGGACUGAGAUACGGCCCAGACUCCUACGGGAGGCAGCGGUGGGGAAUAUUGCACAAUGGGCGCAAGCCUGAUGCAGCGACGCCGCGUGGGGGAUGACGGCCUUCGGGUUGUAAACUCCUUUCGCUAGGGACGAAGCGCAAGUGACGGUACCUGGAGAAGAAGCACCGGCUAACUACGUG
This 466-nucleotide ribosomal RNA is filed under the name uncultured bacterium. Its description in RNAcentral is "partial 16S ribosomal RNA". It matches the Rfam family "Bacterial small subunit ribosomal RNA", at positions 28 to 507 of the family's 1533-position model. The record is from RNAcentral.